AUAAGGGGCCAUCCAAAACAUGAAGUCGAGCGAACAGACGAGGAGCUUGCUCCUCUGACGUUAGCGGCGGACGGGUGAGUAACACGUGGAUAACCUACCUAUAAGACUGGGAUAACUUCGGGAAACCGGAGCUAAUACCGGAUAACAUGUUGAACCGCAUGGUUCAACAGUGAAAGACGGUCUUGCUGUCACUUAUAGAUGGAUCCGCGCCGCAUUAGCUAGUUGGUAAGGUAACGGCUUACCAAGGCAACGAUGCGUAGCCGACCUGAGAGGGUGAUCGGCCACACUGGAACUGAGACACGGUCCAGACUCCUACGGGAGGCAGCAGUAGGGAAUCUUCCGCAAUGGGCGAAAGCCUGACGGAGCAACGCCGCGUGAGUGAAGAAGGUCUUCGGAUCGUAAAACUCUGUUAUUAGGGAAGAACAAAUGUGUAAGUAACUAUGCACGUCUUGACGGUACCUAAUCAGAAAGCCACGGCUAACUACGUGCCAGCAGCCGCGGUAAUACGUAGGUGGCAAGCGUUAUCCGGAAUUAUUGGGCGUAAAGCGCGCGUAGGCGGUUUUUUAAGUCUGAUGUGAAAGCCCACGGCUCAACCGUGGAGGGUCAUUGGAA
Molecule: ribosomal RNA, 612 nt
Filed under: Staphylococcus capitis subsp. capitis
Lineage: Bacteria; Bacillati; Bacillota; Bacilli; Caryophanales; Staphylococcaceae
Description: bacterial SSU rRNA
Rfam family: Bacterial small subunit ribosomal RNA
Source: RNAcentral